UAGAGUUUGAUCCUGGCUCAGGAUGAACGCUGGCGGCGUGCCUAAUACAUGCAAGUCGAACGAAGAACUAGCUUGCUAGUUCUUAGUGGCGAACGGGUGAGUAAUACAUAAAUAAUCUGCCCAUAUGACUGGGAUAACUAUUGGAAACGAUAGCUAAUACCGGAUAGGUUAAUUGAAGGCAUCUUCGAUUAAUUAAAGUAGGUUUUCUACACAAAUGGAUGAGUUUAUGGCGCAUUAGUUAGUUGGUGGGGUAACGGCCUACCAAGACGAUGAUGCGUAGCCGACCUGAGAGGGUGACCGGCCACACUGGGACUGAGACACGGCCCAGACUCCUACGGGAGGCAGCAGUAGGGAAUUUUCGGCAAUGGGCGCAAGCCUGACCGAGCAACGCCGCGUGAGUGAUUAAGGCCUUCGGGUUGUAAAGCUCUGUUGUAAGGGAAGAACAAUCAGUAUAGGAAAUGAUACUGAUCUGACGGUACCUUACCAGAAAGCCACGGCUAACUAC
This 505-nucleotide ribosomal RNA is filed under the name uncultured Erysipelotrichales bacterium. RNAcentral's name for it is "bacterial SSU rRNA". It matches the Rfam family "Bacterial small subunit ribosomal RNA", at positions 1 to 504 of the family's 1533-position model. Lineage: Bacteria; Bacillati; Bacillota; Erysipelotrichia; Erysipelotrichales. The record is from RNAcentral.